This is a long non-coding RNA of Pan troglodytes (chimpanzee), 4540 nucleotides long. RefSeq lists it as uncharacterized. The transcript is spliced from 9 exons. NCBI's taxonomy places the organism in Eukaryota, Metazoa, Chordata, Mammalia, Primates, Hominidae. The record is from RefSeq and is a predicted model, not a curated record.
AUUCAGCCACAGGUCACAGUCUAGAACCAGACACAUCAGUGUCCUCAACUGCAAAGUAGCCAGGAAGCAGCAUCCCAUAACACAGUCCUAUGUCCACUGUUUUGGAGAUCUGGAAUGUAUAAUUGGAGUAGACAUUCUCAGCAGCUGGCGGAAACCCCACAUUGGUUCCAUGACAUGUGGAAUGAAGGCUAGGAUGGUAGGAAAAGAUAAGUGGAAGCUGCUAAAACUGCAUUUACCUUGAAAAAUAUUAAACACAAAGAAACAUUACAUUCCUGGAAAGACUGUACCAUCAAGGACUUGAAAGACUCAGGGACGGGGUGAUUCUUAUGUUCUCACUCAACUUGCCUGUACGGGAGUCAGAUGAAUCUUGGAGAAUGACAGUGGAUUAUUAUAAGCUUAACUAGGUGAUGACUCCAAUUGCAGCUGCUGUACUGGAUGUGGUUUCAUUGCUCGAGCAAGUUAAUACAUCCCCUGGUACCUAGUAUGUAGCUAUUGAUCUAGCAAAUGCCUUUUUCUCCAUACCUCUCAAUAAGAACAACCAGAAUCAGUUUGCUUUUAGCUAGUAAGGUCAGCAAUAUAGCUUCACAGUGCUGCAUCAGGGGUAUGUUAAUUCUCUACCACUAUGUCAUAAUUUAGUUUGCAGGAAUCUUUAUCACCUUUCCCUUCCAAAAGAUAUCACACUAGUCUAUUACACUGGUGACAUGAUGCUGAUUUGACGUAGUGAGCAAGAAGUAGCAACUACUCUAUAGUUAUUGGUAAGACAUUUGCAUGUCAGAGAGUGAAUUUUCAAGAAAAUUCAGUGAAAUUUCUAGGGGUCAGUAUGUGGAGCAUGUGAGAUAUUACUUCUAAGGUAAAGGAUAAGUUGAUGUAUUUGCCUCACCUUCAACCAUAAAAGAGGAACAAUGCCUAGUGGGCCUCUUUGGAUUCUGGAGGCAACAUACUCCUUAUUUGAGUGUGUUACUCUAGUCCAUUUACUGAGUAAACUGCUUUUCGCUAGUUUUCAGUGAGGCCCAGAACAAGAAGAGACUCUGCAACACGUCUAGGCUGCUGUGCAAGCUGCUCUGUCACUUGGGCCUUAUGAUCCGGUAGAUCCAAUGGUGCUUGAAGUGUCAGUGGUAGACAGGGAUGCUGUCUGGAGCCUUUGAUGGGCCCCUAUUGGUGAAUCACAGUGUGGAUCCUUAGGAUUUUGGAACAAAGCCCUGAUAUUUUCUGUGGAUAACUACUCUCCUUUUGAGAAACAGUUCUUAGUUUGCUACUGGGCCUUAGUAGAGACUUAAUACUUAACUAUGCACUACUAAGUUACUAUUUGACCUGAGCUUCCCACCAUGAACUGAGUGUUGUCUUACCCACAAAGCCAUGAAGUUGGGCAUGCACAGCAGCACUCCAUCAUCAAAUGGAAGUGCUUUGUAUGAGAUUAGGUCAAAUCAGGCUCUUGGCACAAGUAAGUUACAUGAAAAGAAGGAGCCUACUUGUCAUGGCACCCACUCCUAUUACAGGACCUUCUCUCUCCCGCCUGCUUCUGUGGCCUCACAGGGGAGCUCCUUGUGAUCAGUUGAUAGAGGAAAAAAGACUCAGGCCUGAUUUACAGAAGAUUCUGCAUGAUAUACAGCUACCACCUGAAAGUGGGCAGCUGCAGAACUGCAGACCUUCUCUGAAACAUUCCUCAAGGACAAUGGUGAAGAAAAAUCCUUCCAGUAGGCAGAACUUCAAGCAGUGCACCUGAUUGUUCACUUUGCUUGGGAGAAAAGGAAUUUCUAUUCUUACAGCAGAAAUAGACAUUUGUAAUAAGCUUUGGCUCACAGUCAGGGUUGCCACUGCCACUGCAAAACAGGCAAAUUGAAUUGAAGCAGCUAAAAAAACCUCAGGUUUUGGUGAAGUUUGCAGGUUGGAUUACCGGCAGCUACUGCAGAGAGAAGUUUGGAUUGCAAAUACGGCAUUUGUUGACACUGGGCAUUGUUUAAUGCCCUGUACAGACCAUCGUACAGGCCAUGUCAGAAUUCCUAGUCUUUUACUUCUAAAUUUUAUUACAUCGUGUGAAAUUUAGAAAAAUAUAAGCUGUUUAUUUUCUUGAUCAAGAUAGGUGAAGAAAUACAGAAAAGAAAUAAAUAAUGAAAGCAAACCCCAACUUUCAGAUUUGGACACACCUUUGCUAAAAACUAUCAACAUUUUCCCCUUGAAAUUCUGAGUGGAAAGAUAUGUGCUUCCCUAAGUCAGGAGCUGUAUAUGCACCCCCCACCCCGAAACAUUUUUUGGGCAAAUGGAAUCAUUAAAGGAAUGAGAGGUAUCUACUCUUCAGUUCCCACUCAUUGACACAAACAGAAAACGCUACUGCAGCUUUCAGAGGUGACAGCUACUGUCUUCAAGGUGGAGAUAAGAGGUAAAUGGAGAGAAGUCAUACCUCAACUCCAGGAAUCUUGAAACUAAAAUGUUUUCUCAAAAAGCCAUGCACACAUUCAAAAAAAACCUUGGAUUUUCUAGAGCAGAUCUAUUAUCUUUUUUCUGUUUUUUUUUUCAUUGUCUCCAUGAGUAAACUUAUAUUAGAAACCACACCUAACAUUGGUUACCAGUUACACUUCUGGGGCCAGAAAGCAAAGGAAAUUAAUAAAAGGGAAACACCCUAGGGAGAAACUGAAUGAACUCUUAGUUGGCUAAAAUUUUGUGACUAAUCAGCAUCCUCUUUAAAUGUACCAUAUCCAAGUCUGACCUUUUUACUUAGUAGAAAAACAAUACAAAGAUUGCAGUUUCCAUUUUAAACACAAUCUUUUUGUUCAAUUGUCAACCAGGAGUGGUUUUAAAUAAAACCACUUUCUGUAUUUUCCUCAGAGGUGUCUUAAUUUUCCCUAUCAAACUCACAACCCAAAGGUACUAAAGUCAGCAAGACCUAAUGUCUAAUUUACUUAUACCUAUGAUGAAAUCUAGUGCCAAGGAUCAUCCAUGGCCAUUGCCCCACUUCAAAUAUUCAUGAGCCUCCACAAUCCAAAAUGCAUUAAAUGUGGGCAGGUUGCCAAUAACACACAAUCUUCCUAAUGACAGGGAGCUUUCUCAGAUCAAAGGAGCAAGAUGUUAAAGACUUCAAACUAAACUGUCUUUGUAAGAGACACCCAGAAAAGAAAUGCCAGAUCCCACACCCUGUUUCAGUUAUGAAACAUCAAUGAAAUAGAGAAAAUAAUAAACAUUUAUUCAUUCCUCUUUGGAACUCAUUUUUUUGCAACAACUUUGCUUCUUUCCUUUCUUACCAUUGCACUCGAACACUAAGGAUGUUAUACACUAAAACUGGAAAAUAUUAUUAAUGCUUUCAAAGACAAAAUGAAUGACUACUAAGGAGUUAAUAGCAUUUAAGCCAAUAUGAUAUCGCUAAUGGAGCCUGAGUGGCAUGUAGAGAAUACUACAAAAGCAAAGUUAAAACAGGGAUAAAGAGCUAUGAAGAAUACAUAUAAAGCAAAUAUACCUAAUAAUUUAAGUUGUCCCUUUAUGUCAUUUGUCAUCUGGCUGCAUCUGCUCUUAAACCUGUGCACCUGUGCUCUGUUCCUGGAAAUAUUAGGCAUGCAGCCAAUUUCAUACCCAGCCAUUCCUAUGGUCAGACUCAGCUAUCAGUGCUUUUGUAUGUAUAUGUAUAUUAAAUCAAGUAUCAACCCCCGGGCUCUGAACUACUUCUGACUGACAGAACCAACAGAAAGUUCCAGGCUAAUUACUUCUAAGGAAUAGUUCCCAGAGAAAAGAGUUUCCACUGACCUACUUUGGACUUACUGAGAUAAUUUAUCAGAUGAAUUUUCCCCUCUACUCACAAAAGUUUGAUCAAAAUGAUGGUUAACUGCUCUAGGCAAGCACAGUCUACAUACUGCAGAAAAUAAAGAGCAGCCAGAUGUUUUCCUGAAAGGGAAUAAAAACAGCACAUUACCAGACAUCCUCGGCAUCUUCGUCACAUUCUGCACCAAACUGGCAAAUAUCACAGGUGGAUGUCUCCUUUUGACUAGUUUCUCCAGAGCCUUCAUGGACUGUAGGACAGAAAAACAGUAAAAGGAAUUCAGGAAAACCACCUCUAUAUAGGAAUACCUUCCACCAGCACAACACAAGUACUCCAAAUGAAGAGGACUCCACCUGAGUUGCUAAAUUCCAUGUCAGAAGCAUGGGCUGUCUUUCAUGACAAAUCUCAUUCCUCCUCUGCUCCCACACUGCCUGACAAGCAGUUCAAAGAGAAAGAUUAAUUCAACUAUUGCGGGAGAUACUAAGGAUGCAUUUCAUUUUUCAUACUGUGGACUUUGUAUUCUGUACUUGAGGAAGGAAGAGAAAAAGGAGGAACAAAUAAAGGAAGAAAAGAAAGAUGGAAGAAAGGAAAGAAGGAAGCAAAGAAGGAAAGAAGUAAAAGUAAAUGAAAUCUGUAUUCAGGAUGUAACGCUUCUUCUGAAGUGCUUGGAGAAUCAGAGAAAAUGGCCCAUUUUCAUUUUAAUGAAUCAUGCUGGAGAAUAAAUUUACAUGAUGUUAAUACUGAGACCUGGAGAUGGUAUGGUAUAAUGCUCAUAAUAAAGGAUUUAGGAACCAU